UGGGGAAGCUUGCACAAUGGGCGGAAGCCUGAUGCAGCGACGCCGCGUGGGGGAUGACGGCCUUCGGGUUGUAAACUCCUUUCGCCAGGGACGAAGCCGUGAGGUGACGGUACCUGGAUAAGAAGCACCGGCUAACUACGUGCCAGCAGCCGCGGUAAUACGUAGGGUGCGAGCGUUGUCCGGAAUUACUGGGCGUAAAGAGCUCGUAGGUGGUUUGUCGCGUCGUCUGUGAAAUUCCGGGGCUUAACUCCGGGCGUGCAGGCGAUACGGGCCUAACUUGAGUGCUGUAGGGGAGACUGGAAUUCCUGGUGUAGCGGUGAAAUGCGCAGAUAUCAGGAGGAACACCGAUGGCGAAGGCAGGUCUCUGGGCAGUAACUGACGCGGAGGAGCGAAAGCAUGGGUAGCGAACAGG
Molecule: ribosomal RNA, 412 nt
Filed under: Bacillota bacterium
Lineage: Bacteria; Bacillati; Bacillota
Description: Firmicutes bacterium partial 16S ribosomal RNA
Rfam family: Bacterial small subunit ribosomal RNA
Source: RNAcentral